GAUCCUGGCUCAGGACGAACGCUGGCGGCGUGCUUAACACAUGCAAGUCGAACGAGAAUCUGUGGAAAGAGGAUUCGUCCAAUUGAAGCAGAGGACAGUGGCGGACGGGUGAGUAACGCGUGAGGAACCUGCCUUUCAGAGGGGGACAACAGUUGGAAACGACUGCUAAUACCGCAUGGCACAUAGGUGUCGCAUGGCACUUAUGUCAAAGAUUUAUCGUUGAAAGAUGG
RNAcentral lists this ribosomal RNA (230 nucleotides) under uncultured bacterium. Its description in RNAcentral is "partial 16S ribosomal RNA". It matches the Rfam family "Bacterial small subunit ribosomal RNA", at positions 15 to 228 of the family's 1533-position model. The record is from RNAcentral.